Molecule: small RNA, 125 nt
Filed under: Marmota monax (woodchuck)
Lineage: Eukaryota; Metazoa; Chordata; Mammalia; Rodentia; Sciuridae
Source: RNAcentral
GUUGGGUGUGGUGGCACACGCCUGUAAUCCCAGGGGCUCAGGAGGCAGAGACAGGAGGAUGGCGAGUUCAAGGCCAGCCUCAGCAACGGCUAGGCAUGAAGCAACUCAGUGAGAACUUGUCUCUA